Molecule: long non-coding RNA, 243 nt
Filed under: Homo sapiens (human)
Lineage: Eukaryota; Metazoa; Chordata; Mammalia; Primates; Hominidae
Description: HSALNT0145222
Source: RNAcentral
ACCUGAAAAUGGGCCCUAGUUCCUGGAAGGUCCUCAUAACCCUGCUCCCUCCAGAUCUGCAGCAGCCUCAGCCACCUGUUGCCUGGACGCCGGGGCAUGGCUUCAAAGGGCAGCACUGUCCUGGGGACCCGGGCGGCUCUCGUGCCCAGUGCCUGUGCCCUUUGCAGGGACAGCCAGGGCACUGCCAUGCACACCUCUGCCUUUGCCCUGAGUGCUCAUAACCCUGCUCCCUCCAGAUCUGCA